This is a long non-coding RNA of Etheostoma spectabile (orangethroat darter), 118 nucleotides long. RefSeq lists it as uncharacterized. The transcript is spliced from 3 exons. The record is from RefSeq and is a predicted model, not a curated record. Lineage: Eukaryota; Metazoa; Chordata; Actinopteri; Perciformes; Percidae.
GCUUUGACCUUAAAGUACAGUGCCUUGCCAAAGUACUCGUCCCCCUUGAACUUUUUGACCUUUUGCCACAUUUCAGACUUCAAACAUAAAGAGAUAAAAGUGUAAUUUUUGUUGAAGA